UCGCCUGUUUAUCAAAAACAUCGCCUCUUGCUUUACAUAAGAGGUCCCGCCUGCCCUGUGACUUAGUUUAACGGCCGCGGUAUUAUAACCGUGCGAAGGUAGCAUAAUAAAUUGUUCUCUAAAUAAGGACUAGUAUGAAAGGCAUCACGAGGGCUUAACUGUCUCCCUUUUCCAAUCAAUGAAACUGAUCUUCUCGUGAAGAAGCGAGAAUAAAUUUAUAAGACGAGAAGACCCCAUGGAGCUUUAAACUUCUCACCACUUAUUUAUCAUUACACCAUUAUAUAUAAUAAAAAUGUUAAUUGAAAGUUUUCGGCUGGGGUGACCCUGGAGAAAAAUAAAUCCUCCAGGAUGAACGGAAUAAAAUCCUAAUCAAAGAGCUACAGCUCUAAGAAUCAAAACACUGACAUCAUUGACCCAACCAUUUGAUCAACGAACCAAGUUACCCUGGGGAUAACAGCGCAAUCCAUUUCAAGAGCCCCUAUCGACAAAUGGGUUUACGACCUCGAUGUUGGAUCGGGGUAUCCCAGUGGCGCAGCCGCUACUAAAGGUUCGUUUGUUCAACGAUUAACAACCCCACGUGAUCUGAGUUCAGACCGGA
RNAcentral lists this ribosomal RNA (598 nucleotides) under Tachycnemis seychellensis. RNAcentral's name for it is "partial 16S ribosomal RNA". It matches the Rfam family "Bacterial large subunit ribosomal RNA", at positions 1796 to 2620 of the family's 2925-position model. Lineage: Eukaryota; Metazoa; Chordata; Amphibia; Anura; Hyperoliidae. The record is from RNAcentral.